UACGUAGGGGGCAAGCGUUGUCCGAAGUUACUGGGCGUAAAGCGCACGUAGGCGGCGGCGCAAGUUACAUUUGAAAAGCAGCAGCUCAACUGCUGUCAGUGGUGUAAGACUGCGUUGCUUGAGGCAAGCAAAAGAGUGUGGAACUCCGAGUGUAGCGGUGGAAUGCGUAGAGAUUCGGAAGAACACCCAUGGCGAAGGCAGCACUCUAGGCUUGACCUGACGCUGAGGAGCGAAAGCCAGGGGAGCGAACGGG
This 253-nucleotide ribosomal RNA is filed under the name uncultured bacterium. RNAcentral describes it as "partial 16S ribosomal RNA". It matches the Rfam family "Bacterial small subunit ribosomal RNA", at positions 524 to 776 of the family's 1533-position model. The record is from RNAcentral.